AGUAAUGUAUGGGGAUCUGCCCGAUAGAGGGGGGUAACUACUGGAAACGGUGGCUAAUACCGCAUAAUGUCUACGGACCAAAGCAGGGGCUCUUCGGACCUUGCACUAUCGGAUGAACCCAUAUGGGAUUAGCUAGUAGGUGGGGUAAAGGCUCACCUAGGCGACGAUCUCUAGCUGGUCUGAGAGGAUGAUCGGCCACACUGGGACUGAGACACGGCCCAG
Molecule: ribosomal RNA, 222 nt
Filed under: uncultured bacterium
Lineage: Bacteria
Description: partial 16S ribosomal RNA
Rfam family: Bacterial small subunit ribosomal RNA
Source: RNAcentral